Molecule: transfer RNA, 73 nt
Filed under: Mustela putorius furo (domestic ferret)
Lineage: Eukaryota; Metazoa; Chordata; Mammalia; Carnivora; Mustelidae
Also listed under: 1 other name
Rfam family: tRNA
About the family: Transfer RNA (tRNA) molecules are approximately 80 nucleotides in length.
Source: Rfam by way of RNAcentral
GCCUGGCUGGCUCAGCUGGUAGAGCAUGCGACUCUUGAUCUCAGGGUCAUGAGUUUGAGCCCCAUGUUGGGCA